UACGGAGGGUGCAAGCGUUAACCGGAAUUACUGGGCGUAAAGCGCCCGCAGGCGGCUUUUUGAGUCUGUUGUCAAAGCCCCCGGCUCAACUCGGGAACUGCAUUGGAAACUGGGGAGCUAGAGUGUUGUAGGGGGAGGGAGAAUUCCCGGUGUAGCGGUGAAAUGCGUAGAUAUGGGGAAGAACACCAGUGGCGAAGGCGGUCUCCUGGGCCAAAACUGACGCUGAGGUGCGAAAGCGUGGGGAGCGAACGGG
Molecule: ribosomal RNA, 253 nt
Filed under: uncultured bacterium
Lineage: Bacteria
Description: partial 16S ribosomal RNA
Rfam family: Bacterial small subunit ribosomal RNA
Source: RNAcentral